UACGUAGGGGGCAAGCGUUGUCCGGAUUUAUUGGGCGUAAAGAGCGUGUAGGCGGCCAGGUAGGUCUGCUGUGAAAACUCGAGGCUUAACCUCGAGCUGUCGGCGGAAACCAUCUGGCUAGAGUCCGGAAGAGGAGAAUGGAAUUCCCGGUGUAGCGGUGAAAUGCGUAGAUAUCGUAAGGAAGACCAGUGGCGAAGGCGAGUCUCUGGACAGUUACUGACACUGAGGCACGAAGGCCAGGGGAGCAAACGGG
This 253-nucleotide ribosomal RNA is filed under the name uncultured bacterium. Its description in RNAcentral is "partial 16S ribosomal RNA". It matches the Rfam family "Bacterial small subunit ribosomal RNA", at positions 524 to 776 of the family's 1533-position model. The record is from RNAcentral.